RNAcentral lists this long non-coding RNA (450 nucleotides) under Lupinus angustifolius (narrow-leaved blue lupine). RNAcentral's name for it is "long non-coding RNA (LANG_LNC002293)". Lineage: Eukaryota; Viridiplantae; Streptophyta; Magnoliopsida; Fabales; Fabaceae. The record is from RNAcentral.
UCAUUUCCUCAUUUUUUCCAGCCACACAUAAACUUGUUUGCUUCUCCUCCCUCAAACCCUUCUCCCCACUCACCCUCCAAACCGUUGAGAAUCACAUGCAUGGAAUCAGUGGACCUGUUGAACAAAGACAAGGGGGAUGAUAAAGUUGGAUCUAUUCAAGGAAGACAUGUUGGAGUUGUUCAUUUUUCUUUUAAUUUUCAUUUAUACAAAGUUUUAAUUAUUUGUAAUGAUUUUGAAUUUUUUGAUGUUGAUGGAAUUUCUUGCUUUGCUUGUUUCUGGAUCUACUUGUGCUUGUGUUUAUUUCUAGACUGUGUAUUUUUGUUGGCUAUCUCUUCUCACUAAGAACUGUUCUUAUUUAACAGCAAUUGUUCUCACUUAAGAACAAAACUGAAGAAAUAAGAAUGUCAUAGUGAAUAAGAGAGUAAGAAUAUUCUUAAUCUGUUAAGAACA